CCCCCGGUCAGGCGGGAGCACCCGCUGAAUUUAAGCAUAUAAAUAAGCGGUGGAGAAGAAACCUACGAGGAUUCCCAUAGUAGCGGCGAGCGAACCGGGAANAGCCCAGUAUGAGAAUCUGGCGGUCGGUGCCGUCCGAAUUGUAGUCUGUAGAAGCGUCCUCAGUGGCGGACCGCGCCCAAGUCUCCUGGAAAGGAGUGCCCGAGAGGGUGAAAGUCCCGUUCGGCGCGGUAUUUGCCUCACCACGAGGCGCUGUCGGCGAGUCGGGUUGUUUGCGAAUGCAGCCUAAAGCGGGCGGUAAACUCCGUCCAAGGCUAAAUACGGGCGANAGACCGAUAGCGAACAAGUACCGCGAGGGAAGGAUGAAAAGGACUUUGAAAAGAGAGUCAACAAGUGCUUGAAAUUGCCGGGAGGGAAGCGGAUGCGGGCCGGCGUUGCGCCGCGGUCGGAUGUGGAACGGCCUCUCAUGGUCCGCCACUCGUCCCGCGGCGCGUUCCGUCGCCGGCCGCACCGGCGGCCAGAGCCCAGCAUUGAUCGGCGGGGAAUCGCCGUCGCCGGUGCGGCCGAGUCUCGUGCGCCGUCACGGCAUGCCCCUCGGGGCGGCACGUGCGAUGGCCUGUGGGCUCCCCAUCCGGCCCGUCUUGAAACACGGACCAAGGAGUCUGACAUGCGUGCGAGUCGACGGGUAUGGAGACCCAGUGGGCAUAAAGAAGCUGACGAGCGGGAACGCCCGGCUCUGCCGUGCCGCCCGCUGGCCGACUCCGAUCUUCUGUGAUGGGUUUGAGUUUGAGCACGCAUGACGGGACCCGAAAGAUGGUGAACUAUGCCUGAGCGAGGCGAAGCCAGAGGAAACUCUGGUGGAGGCCCGAAGCGAUACUGACGUGCAAAUCGUUCGUCUGACUUGGGUAUGGGGGCGAAAGACUAAUCGAACCGUCUAGUAGCUGGUUCCCUCCGAAGUUUCCCUCAGGAUAGC
Molecule: ribosomal RNA, 973 nt
Filed under: Eriocaulon decangulare
Lineage: Eukaryota; Viridiplantae; Streptophyta; Magnoliopsida; Poales; Eriocaulaceae
Description: eukaryotic LSU rRNA
Rfam family: Eukaryotic large subunit ribosomal RNA
Source: RNAcentral